Molecule: ribosomal RNA, 440 nt
Filed under: uncultured bacterium
Lineage: Bacteria
Description: partial 16S ribosomal RNA
Rfam family: Bacterial small subunit ribosomal RNA
Source: RNAcentral
CCUACGGGUGGCUGCAGUGGGGAAUAUUGCACAAUGGGGGAAACCCUGAUGCAGCGACGCCGCGUGAAGGAAGAAGGAUUUCGGGAUGUAAACUUCUAUUAGCAGGGAAGAAAAUGACGGUACCUGACUAAUAAGCCCCGGCUAACUACGUGCCAGCAGCCGCGGUAAUACGUAGGGGGCAAGCGUUAUCCGGAUUUACUGGGUGUAAAGGGUGCGUAGGGGGUUUAGCAAGUCAGAGGUGAAAGUCCGGGGCUAAACCUCGGGACUGCUUUUGAAACUGUUAAACUAGAUUGCAGGAGAGGUAAGUGGAAUUUCUAGUGUAGCGGUGAAAUGCGUAGAUAUUAGGAGGAACACCAGUGGCGAAGGCGGCUUACUGGGCUGUAAAUGACGCUGAGGCUCGAAAGCGUGGGGAGCAAACAGGAUUAGAUACCCGUGUAGUC